UAUAAUAGCCGGUUCCCGUACGAUCACCAAAGUUAGACAACGUCGAAUUUGGUCAGUACCUCGAUGGGUGACCGCUUGGGAAUAGCAGGUGCUGUAAG
Non-coding RNA from Acanthosepion pharaonis, 98 nucleotides. The record is from the annotation of a GenBank genome assembly. NCBI's taxonomy places the organism in Eukaryota, Metazoa, Mollusca, Cephalopoda, Sepiida, Sepiidae.